UAAGACAGAGGUCCCGAGCGUUAGGCGGAAUCACUGGGCUUAAAGCGUGUGUAGGCGGAUCGUUAAGUGCCUUGUGAAAUCCCACGGCUUAACCGUGGAACUGCUUGGCAUACUGGCGGUCUUGAGCCACUUAGGGGCAACCGGAACAAAUGGUGGAGCGGUGGAAUGCGCAGAUAUCA
This 179-nucleotide ribosomal RNA is filed under the name uncultured bacterium. RNAcentral's name for it is "partial 16S ribosomal RNA". It matches the Rfam family "Bacterial small subunit ribosomal RNA", at positions 521 to 699 of the family's 1533-position model. The record is from RNAcentral.